RNAcentral lists this ribosomal RNA (497 nucleotides) under uncultured bacterium. Its description in RNAcentral is "partial 16S ribosomal RNA". It matches the Rfam family "Bacterial small subunit ribosomal RNA", at positions 28 to 507 of the family's 1533-position model. The record is from RNAcentral.
GAUGAACGCUGGCGGCGUGCCUAAUACAUGCAAGUCGAGCGAAAAGACGAGGCGCUUGCUCCUCUGACGUUAGCGGCGGACGGGUGAGUAACACGUGGAUAACCUACCUAUAAGACUGGGAUAACUUCGGGAAACCGGCGCUAAUACCGGAUAAUCUAUUGCACCGCAUGGGUCAAUAGUGAGAGACGGUUUUGCUGUCUCUUAUAGAUGGAUCUGCGCCGCAUUAGCUAGUUGGUAAGGUAACGGCUUACCACGGCAACGAUGCGUAGCCGACCUGAGAGGGUGAUCGGCCACACGGGAAGUGAGACACGGUCCAGACGCCUACGGGAGGCAGCAGUAUGGAAUGGUACGCAAUGGGCGAAAGCCUGACGGAGCAACGGCGCGUGAGUGAUGAAGGUCUUCGGAUCGUAAAACUCUGUUAUUAGGUAAGAACAAAUGUGUAAGUAACUAUGCACGUCUUGACGGUACCUAAUAAGAAAGCCCCGGCUAACUACGUG